RNAcentral lists this ribosomal RNA (681 nucleotides) under uncultured Bacteroidales bacterium. Its description in RNAcentral is "bacterial SSU rRNA". It matches the Rfam family "Bacterial small subunit ribosomal RNA", at positions 52 to 722 of the family's 1533-position model. Lineage: Bacteria; Pseudomonadati; Bacteroidota; Bacteroidia; Bacteroidales. The record is from RNAcentral.
CACAUGCAAGUCGAGGGGCAGCAUGGUCUUAGCUUGCUAAGGCCGAUGGCGACCGGCGCACGGGUGAGUAACACGUAUCCAACCUGCCGUCUACUCUUGGACAGCCUUCUGAAAGGAAGAUUAAUACAAGAUGGCAUCAUGAGUUCACAUGUUCACAUGAUUAAAGGUAUUCCGGUAGACGAUGGGGAUGCGUUCCAUUAGAUAGUAGGCGGGGUAACGGCCCACCUAGUCUUCGAUGGAUAGGGGUUCUGAGAGGAAGGUCCCCCACAUUGGAACUGAGACACGGUCCAAACUCCUACGGGAGGCAGCAGUGAGGAAUAUUGGUCAAUGGGCGAGAGCCUGAACCAGCCAAGUAGCGUGAAGGAUGACUGCCCUAUGGGUUGUAAACUUCUUUUAUAAAGGAAUAAAGUCGGGUAUGGAUACCCGUUUGCAUGUACUUUAUGAAUAAGGAUCGGCUAACUCCGUGCCAGCAGCCGCGGUAAUACGGAGGAUCCGAGCGUUAUCCGGAUUUAUUGGGUUUAAAGGGAGCGUAGAUGGAUGUUUAAGUCAGUUGUGAAAGUUUGCGGCUCAACCGUAAAAUUGCAGUUGAUACUGGAUAUCUUGAGUGCAGUUGAGGCAGGCGGAAUUCGUGGUGUAGCGGUGAAAUGCUUAGAUAUCACGAAGAACUCCGAUUGCGAAGGC